Molecule: ribosomal RNA, 590 nt
Filed under: Pelomonas sp. RDB-109
Lineage: Bacteria; Pseudomonadati; Pseudomonadota; Betaproteobacteria; Burkholderiales; Sphaerotilaceae
Description: bacterial SSU rRNA
Rfam family: Bacterial small subunit ribosomal RNA
Source: RNAcentral
ACGGGUGAGUAAUAUAUCGGAACGUGCCCAGUCGUGGGGGAUAACUGCUCGAAAGAGCAGCUAAUACCGCAUACGACCUGAGGGUGAAAGCGGGGGAUCGCAAGACCUCGCGCGAUUGGAGCGGCCGAUAUCAGAUUAGGUAGUUGGUGGGGUAAAAGCCCACCAAGCCAACGAUCUGUAGCUGGUCUGAGAGGACGACCAGCCACACUGGGACUGAGACACGGCCCAGACUCCUACGGGAGGCAGCAGUGGGGAAUUUUGGACAAUGGGCGCAAGCCUGAUCCAGCCAUGCCGCGUGCGGGAAGAAGGCCUUCGGGUUGUAAACCGCUUUUGUCAGGGAAGAAAAGGUUCUGGAUAAUACCCGGGACUCAUGACGGUACCUGAAGAAUAAGCACCGGCUAACUACGUGCCAGCAGCCGCGGUAAUACGUAGGGUGCAAGCGUUAAUCGGAAUUACUGGGCGUAAAGCGUGCGCAGGCGGUUAUGCAAGACAGAGGUGAAAUCCCCGGGCUCAACCUGGGAACUGCCUUUGUGACUGCAUAGCUAGAGUACGGUAGAGGGGGAUGGAAUUCCGCGUGUAGCAGUGAAAUG